GUACACUCCUACGGGAGGCAGCAGUGGGGAAUAUUGGACAAUGGGCGCAAGCCUGAUCCAGCCAUGCCGCGUGAGUGAUGAAGGCCCUAGGGUUGUAAAGCUCUUUCACCGGAGAAGAUAAUGACGGUAUCCGGAGAAGAAGCCCCGGCUAACUUCGUGCCAGCAGCCGCGGUAAUACGAAGGGGGCUAGCGUUGUUCGGAAUUACUGGGCGUAAAGCGCACGUAGGCGGAUCGAUCAGUCAGGGGUGAAAUCCCAGGGCUCAACCCUGGAACUGCCUUUGAUACUGUCGAUCUGGAGUAUGGAAGAGGUGAGUGGAAUUCCGAGUGUAGAGGUGAAAUUCGUAGAUAUUCGGAGGAACACCAGUGGCGAAGGCGGCUCACUGGUCCAUUACUGACGCUGAGGUGCGAAAGCGUGGGGAGCAAACAGGAUUAGAUACCCCAGUAGUCCCA
This 450-nucleotide ribosomal RNA is filed under the name uncultured organism. Its description in RNAcentral is "partial 16S ribosomal RNA". It matches the Rfam family "Bacterial small subunit ribosomal RNA", at positions 331 to 797 of the family's 1533-position model. The record is from RNAcentral.